This is a long non-coding RNA of Dermochelys coriacea (leatherback sea turtle), 437 nucleotides long. RefSeq lists it as uncharacterized. The record is from RefSeq and is a predicted model, not a curated record. Lineage: Eukaryota; Metazoa; Chordata; Testudines; Dermochelyidae. The transcript has 3 exons.
UCAGGGCCAAUGAUCUGGGCAGAGAACGAGGGGAGUUUCAGUUCUGACGUCUCUGGCGCCCGUUACAAAUACCAGCCUGGCGUUCUCCACCCCACGUGGAGCAAGUUCCCCAGCGGGUGUGUCAUGCCACUUGGGAUGGCCAGCUCUACUCCGGGAGGUUUAGCAUUGCGAUGGAAUCAGGCCCUCCAAGGCUGCUACUCCCUGCCCGCACCCUCUCAGGCUCUGGUCUCUAGGUUGUCUCUGACUGAGGGACACAAGGAGACACUUGCAUAUCAUCAAUAAUAAUUCUCUUACCUUUGUCAACCCUGAACACAGAUCUUAUGGGUGUUUCUCCAGUUUACCUGAAAGGCAGGCAGAACACAAAUGAAUAUGUGGUCACUGCUCUAAGGUGAAUGUGCAGGAUCAGGGUCUCCAACAGCAGAGUUAGACAUGUGAGG